CGAAUGGGUCCAAAGACUCUUAAAACCUACCGUGCUCCCCUACGUGGAAAACAGGAAAGCCCUCCGGGCAUAGGAAAUCUGAGAAGUUGAGAACUGCGCCCCGGCGCAUGACUAAAACAAAAAAUUA
Molecule: unclassified non-coding RNA, 127 nt
Filed under: soil metagenome
Description: partial internal transcribed spacer 1
Source: RNAcentral